Molecule: ribosomal RNA, 478 nt
Filed under: uncultured bacterium
Lineage: Bacteria
Description: partial 16S ribosomal RNA
Rfam family: Bacterial small subunit ribosomal RNA
Source: RNAcentral
GACGAACGCUGGCGGCGUGCUUAACACAUGCAAGUCGAACGGUAAGGCCCUUCGGGGUACACGAGUGGCGAACGGGUGAGUAACACGUGGGUGAUCUGCCCUGCACUUCGGGAUAAGCCUGGGAAACUGGGUCUAAUACCGGAUAGGACCACUGCCUGCAUGGGUGGUGGUGGAAAGCUUUUGCGGUGUGGGAUGGGCCCGCGGCCUAUCAGCUUGUUGGUGGGGUGAUGGCCUACCAAGGCGACGACGGGUAGCCGGCCUGAGAGGGUUACCGGCCACACUGGGACUGGGAUCCGGCCCAGACUCCUACGGGAGGCAGCAGUGGGGAAUAUUGCACAAUGGGCGCAAGCCUGAUGCAGCGACGCCGCGUGAGGGAUGACGGCCUUCGGGUUGUAAACCUCUUUCAGCACCGACGAAGCGCAAGUGACGGUAGGUGCAGAAGAAGGACCGGCCAACUACGUGCCAGCCGCCGCAGUAA